Molecule: long non-coding RNA, 513 nt
Organism: Glycine soja
Lineage: Eukaryota; Viridiplantae; Streptophyta; Magnoliopsida; Fabales; Fabaceae
Exons: 2
Source: RefSeq, a predicted model, not a curated record
CACACCAGUGUUCCCACUCCUCCAAUUACUGCAUUUGAGAGAGAGAGAGCAAAAAGAUGGCUAGUUUCAGAUUUUCAUUCGGUUUCGGAGUGGUGGCCGCCGUUGUUCUCUCUCUCAUCUUCACUCUUUACAUGCCUGUCGCUGUUCAUGCCCAAUCCCUAGCUCCAGCACCUGCUCCUACCAGCGACGGAACGUCCAUAGAUCAAGGGAUUGCGUAUGUUUUGAUGAUGUUGGCUUUGGCACUCACUUAUCUCAUCCACUCCUCCACCUUCUGAAAAGGACGCUCUUUCACUUGAAAGAAGGUCUUAUGUUUAUUAUUAUUGAUACAACUAUUAGCGUUAGGAAUCAUAGAUAUAAUAGACAACGUUAUUCCCGAAAUACUAAUGACUGGGAAAAAAUUUCCCAUAGGAAUUCGACCUUGUUUUUUCGGAUUCAUUUUCCCAGUGAUGUAAGGGUAUUUGUUUUUUACUGGCUUCUUAAUGUCAUUUUCUAUUUGCUGAUGCCAUUCUAAUU